This 431-nucleotide ribosomal RNA is filed under the name uncultured archaeon. RNAcentral describes it as "bacterial SSU rRNA". It matches the Rfam family "Archaeal small subunit ribosomal RNA", at positions 474 to 903 of the family's 1478-position model. The record is from RNAcentral.
UACCAGCUCUCCGAGUGGUAGGGAUGUUUAUUGGGCUUAAAGCGUCCGUAGCCGGCUUAGCAAGUCUCCUGUUAAAUUCAGCGACCUAAUCGUUGAGCCGCGGGAGAUACUACUAGGCUAGGAGGCGGGAGAGGUCGACGGUACUUCCGGGGUAGGGGUGAAAUCCUAUAAUCCCGGGAGGACCACCAGUGGCGAAGGCUGUUGACUAGAACGCGCUCGACGGUGAGGGACGAAAGCUGGGGGAGCGAACCGGAUUAGAUACCCGGGUAGUCCCAGCUGUAAACGAUGCGAGCUAGGUGUUGGGGUGGCUACGUGCCACUUCAGUGCCGCAGGGAAGCCAUUAAGCUCGCCGCCUGGGAAGUACGGUCGCAAGGCUGAAACUUAAAGGAAUUGGGCGGGGGAGCACAGCGAACGGGAGGAGCGUGCGGUUU